This 449-nucleotide ribosomal RNA is filed under the name uncultured bacterium. RNAcentral's name for it is "partial 16S ribosomal RNA". It matches the Rfam family "Bacterial small subunit ribosomal RNA", at positions 29 to 523 of the family's 1533-position model. The record is from RNAcentral.
AACGAACGCUGGCGGCAUGCCUAAUACAUGCAAGUCGAACGAGAUCUUCGGAUCUAGUGGCGCACGGGUGCGUAACGCGUGGGAAUCUGCCCUUGGGUUCGGAAUAACGUCGGGAAACUGACGCUAAUACCGGAUGAUGACGUAAGUCCAAAGAUUUAUCGCCCAAGGAUGAGCCCGCGUAGGAUUAGCUAGUUGGUGAGGUAAAGGCUCACCAAGGCUACGAUCCUUAGCUGGUCUGAGAGGAUGAUCAGCCACACUGGGACUGAGACACGGCCCAGACUCCUACGGGAGGCAGCAGUAGGGAAUAUUGGACAAUGGGGGCAACCCUGAUCCAGCAAUGCCGCGUGAGCGAUGAAGGCCUUAGGGUUGUAAAGCUCUUUUACCCGGGAUGAUAAUGACAGUACCGGGAGAAUAAGCCCCGGCUAACUCCGUGCCAGCAGCCGCCGUAA